This 2586-nucleotide unclassified non-coding RNA is filed under the name Bombyx mandarina (wild silkworm). Its description in RNAcentral is "uncharacterized LOC114253274, transcript variant X1". The record is from RNAcentral. Lineage: Eukaryota; Metazoa; Arthropoda; Insecta; Lepidoptera; Bombycidae.
UUUAUUAUUGAUUUUUUAUUUUAUUUGAUAAUGGAAGUUAUUGAGGAUGGAAAUAUUAUUGAUAGGAUCCCAAUUUUGUUGCAAAGAGAUUUGGAGUAUUAUCAGAAAAACCAAACAGUUUUGUCGGAGACAAUCUGCCGCAGUGUAGUCGGUGGUAGACUCGAUUUCCCUAGGAACGCUUCUUUCGCUGCUGUCAAAAUAGUGCUAUGGCUUGAAGAGGAGUUUUCGAUUGCUUUCAAACAAGGUUCUGGAAUGUUCGUGAACACCGAAGAAGAAGAAGAGAAACUAGAAGGCGGAGUGGCGAAGACUUCUGAUCCGGAUAAAUUCGUACAGUUGACCGUCAAGUCGAGUGACGCGCUGUUAGAGCAUCUCCACAUGUUGGUGCAAGAGGCACUGGACCACGCCGACCUCCCGGUGCUGACCGCCACCCUGGGAGCUGCAGCACUGCUUAAAAACAGUCUGUAUUGCUACUUACAGCACGUGGAAGACUCUGGCAACGCUGAAAGAUUCUCUAUAUUGCAAGCGUGCUACAAGCGCUACGUGGCCAUGUCCGAGGCGGUCGCCGAGCGCGUGCUGGACCUGCACUGCAGGGUGCUGUCCCUGUACGUGCUGCAGGACGCGGGGGGGCGCGGGGGCGCGGGGGGAGGCGCGCCCUCUGUGCAGGGCUGGUGGCUCUACAUGAAUGGGAGUCGACAGGACCUGUGGGACACGGUGCCUCCUCGCGUCGCGCAAAGGAUUUUCGCGGGAAUGCUUAAUGAAUCUCUUACAAUACUAACUGUUCGGUAUUGCCAGACCAACACGAGUACAUCGACAACUCCACUGCUCCUCAACGACAUAUUGAACACGCUGCUGUGCGUGGCGCAGCUGCUGCCGGCCGUGUGCGGGGGCGGGCGCGAGCUGGCGGGCGCGGGGGCGGGCGCGGGGGGCGGGGCGCGGCACGUGCGCGACGUGCACGCCAAGUGCAACGAGCUCUUCAAAUGCUUCGUGUACAGAGGAGCCCCGUUACAUUUUAUACACCAGGCCUUGACAAACGAAGAUCACACGCAGAUCCCAGCACAGGACGGCCCGCAGCCCUGGUACACCUUUGCGAGUCCUCAGCUCUUCGACCGCGUCCACGACGGAGGGGCGGCCCGAGGCACGGAGCUGCCCAGCAGGACGGCGUUGGCUUUAGAGUUGAUGGUGCUGUUGGCUCAGCCGCAACCUUCCUGGGCGCUGAUCGUUAAGGUGAUGACAAUGCGAGAUUGCUUACUGGCCCGCAUGCUGCUGGUCAGAGCUCUGCGCAACAUGAGCCCGGACAACAGCAAGUGGUCGGUGCGGGCGCAGUGGUACGCGACCGGCGCCGGCCCGCAGAGCUGCGACGGCUUCCUCUGCACUGCCGACGGGUACUGCAGGUUUAAAGGGGACAGCGACGACGGCGAGGAGUACGCGCGUGCGGCGGGCGCGCUCACCUACAUCCUCGUCAGCGUGGGCAGCAAGGCGGAGAUAAAGUCCACGCUGUGCUACGGCCUCGAGAUGUCCGGCAGGGACUGGGCCGCCGGCCUGGACCGGAGACAGAUCUGGAGCGAGCGUCGCGCGGCGUGGCUGAGCGCGGUGGCGGGGGCGGCGGGGGGCGCGGUGGUGCGGGGGGCGGGGCCGCUGCUCGCGCGCGCCCUCGCCUCCCGCGCCUCACUCUUCCAGACGGUGUCGCUCUGCCUGACGUACGUGGAGCGGUCCGUGGACAGCACUGGGGCGCCGCUGCAGCUGGCGUGCGAGGCGCUGCAGGCGGCGCUGCCCGCGCACGUGGCGCCGCUCGGGGACUCGGUGCUGCUGCAGGUUCUGAUCAUGAUCGCUUACGAAGAAAUACAGAACUGGGCUAAGAAAGAAGAGGAAAAAGGGAAAAAAGAGAGCGCGGAGGGCGCGCGCUGCGUGUGCGAGGCGCUGUGCGGUGCGGACCGCGGGCCGCUGGAGCCGCAGCUGCAGCGCCUGCUCAGCAAGUCUCGGCGACCACAACGUCUGUCCCAACAACACGGUCUACAGGAUUUCCCUGAGUUCGCUCAACUGAAGUUACAGGGGGACGUGGCGGGCGCGGGGGCGGAGCGCGGGGGCGACGCGGCGGCGCUCACGGACCGGCUGCUCAUGGCGGCGCCGGGCCGGGACAGUCUGCGGGUUCCUAUCCCCUUUUAGCUUGACCCUAUAACUUCCCUCCGCCUUGCCCCCUCCCCAUUCGCUUUCCUCUUCCUCUUGAUCGCGUUUUUCAUUCCGACUUCUCAUACGUCAUCUCUGCGCUCCCAUCCUGCUGUCUCGUACUCUCUGUCACACAGUCCAUCCACAUAUAAUUCUUAUUCAAGCUUCAACUUAUAACAUUACAGUUCCUACAGGGCGGAGGUACUCCGUCAUCGUCUCAAUUACUAAAAUUGAAACGGAAUCAAAAUGACUUCAUCUUCUGUACAAUCUAGUUCCGCGGACCCGGAGAGCCUUCACUAAUUCCUGCCGCACUGAACUUUGCUUAGGCUUAUAGCUUAAUUACUUGUAGCGUACAAACAAGCUGAUGUUAAUAGCGCUGUAGUGAAUUUAAUAAAAAUAAAUGAACUGUGAAGCCAGUGGCGA